CUGGUGUGAAUUGCAGAAUCCCGUGAACCAUCGAGUCUUUGAACGCAAGUUGCGCCCGAAGCCUUCGGGCCGAGGGCACGCCUGCCUGGGCAUC
This 94-nucleotide ribosomal RNA is filed under the name Strobilanthes auriculata. Its description in RNAcentral is "partial 5.8S ribosomal RNA". It matches the Rfam family "5.8S ribosomal RNA", at positions 62 to 153 of the family's 154-position model. From Rfam's summary of the family: 5.8S ribosomal RNA (5.8S rRNA) is a component of the large subunit of the eukaryotic ribosome. It is transcribed by RNA polymerase I as part of the 45S precursor that also contains 18S and 28S rRNA. Lineage: Eukaryota; Viridiplantae; Streptophyta; Magnoliopsida; Lamiales; Acanthaceae. The record is from RNAcentral.